RNAcentral lists this ribosomal RNA (468 nucleotides) under uncultured bacterium. RNAcentral's name for it is "partial 16S ribosomal RNA". It matches the Rfam family "Bacterial small subunit ribosomal RNA", at positions 28 to 507 of the family's 1533-position model. The record is from RNAcentral.
GACGAACGCUGGCGGCGUGCUUAACACAUGCAAGUCGAACGGAAAGGCCCUGCUUUUGUGGGGUGCUCGAGUGGCGAACGGGUGAGUAACACGUGAGUAACCUGCCCUUGACUUUGGGAUAACUUCAGGAAACUGGGGCUAAUACCGGAUAGGAGCUCCUGCUGCAUGGUGGGGGUUGGAAAGUUUCGGCGGUUGGGGAUGGACUCGCGGCUUAUCAGCUUGUUGGUGGGGUAGUGGAUUACCAAGGCUUUGACGGGUAGCCGGCCUGAGAGGGUGACCGGCCACAUUGGGACUGAGAUACGGCCCAGACGCCUACGGGAGGCAGCAGUGGGGAAUAUUGCACAAUGGGCGGAAGCCGGAUGCAGCAACGCCGCGUGCGGGAUGACGGCCUUCGGGUUGUAAACCGCGUUCGCCUGUGACGAAGCGUGAGUGACGGUAAUGGGUAGAGAAGCACCGGCUAACUACGUG